Molecule: RNA transcript, 4444 nt
Organism: Synchiropus splendidus (mandarinfish)
Lineage: Eukaryota; Metazoa; Chordata; Actinopteri; Syngnathiformes; Callionymidae
Gene: xxylt1
Gene name: xyloside xylosyltransferase 1
Exons: 10
Source: RefSeq, a predicted model, not a curated record
GGCCUUUCUGUAGCUCGGUCGCUAGCUUCGACUUUCUCAUUUUUCUUGUCAACCAAGUAUAAUAACUUCACACUUAAUGGAACUUCAAUUAGAUACACGUGAACACAACCGACUGUAAUCACUUCAUAAUUUAACUGCGUCGUGUAUGGACUUAUACCCGUCAUGGAGGAGCUGCAGAACCAGUUUGUUCGGAUGAAGCCGCAGGGGGAUGCAACCUGAAAUCAAUCACAUCUACUUUGGUAUCCAGUGAGCUGCAGGAUGAAGUGACCCCAGAAUCUGAUGGCGCCUCCACUUUUUUGACAUGAAAAUGCAGACAUGGAUGUCCUGAGGCUGGUCUAUAGAAUGAUGGGCCGGAUCAGUACUUUCCGAUCCUAUCAGUUUGUUCUCCUCCUCGCAGCGGCGCUUGCCGUUGUAGCGUUUUACUACUUUGGAUCGGAAAAGCAUAACUUCUCCAGUACCACAAAGAGGAUCAAGCAGACACAAGCGAACCACAACACCAACAGAAAUGAUGCUGAUUUGACUAUAGACACAGUGUUUUCCCACCUGGAGGAAGAGAGAGGUGGUGCUGGAGAACAGGACGGAUUGGUGACUAGAAAACAAAAUGAUGAGGCAGUUGACCAACGAUAUCAUCUACUUAUGAUGUUCACCAAAGUCGACAAAAAUCGGAGUCUGCAGGACAAGUUCAGGGUGGCCAUGUUGUCCUUGGUGAAGCACGGACGCUUUCUGCAUGGAGAAGUCCUGGCCCUUCAUUUUGUGAGUGACCCUGCCAGCAAAGAAAUGGGAGAGAAGAUGCUGCAGGAAUUGCUGGUAGAUGCAACUUUCAAGUAUGAGGUCUUGUUCCAUGAUGUGGCCACGCUGACGCAGAAGCUCUUCCCCAUCGUGGAGGCUAUGCAGAAACACUUCAGUGCUGGAUCCGGAGCUUAUUACAGCGACUCCAUCUUCUUCCUGUCGGUGGCCAUGCAUCACAUCAUGCCGAAAAGUAUAACUCGGAUCGUGCAGGUGGAUUUAGACCUGAAAUACAGGACCAACAUCAAACACCUCUUCCAAGAAUUUGACCACUUCACUCCAGGCGCUGUCAUCGGCAUUGCCAGAGAGAUGCAGCCUGUUUACAGACACACAUUCUGGCAGUACCGUAAGGAAAACCCUCAGAGCAAAGUGGGGGACCCUCCUCCUGAGGGCCAGCCCGGCUUCAACAGUGGGGUUAUGUUGCUGGACUUGGGUGCAAUGAGGGCAUCGGCUCUCUACAAUGAGCUUCUCAAGCCGAGCAACGUGGCCAAACUGGCCGACCAGUACCGCUUCCGGGGCCACCUUGGGGACCAGGACUUCUUCACCAUGAUUGGCAUGGAGCACCCCGAGUUGUUUUACUCUCUUGCGUGCGGGUGGAACCGACAGCUUUGCACCUGGUGGAGGGACCACGGCUACGGGGACGUUUUCCAGUUGUAUUACAGGUGUGACGGACCUGUUUACGUCUACCACGGGAACUGUAACAGCCAGAUACCGGACGAUUGAUGGACACAACCAAAUAAAUUAAUAAUGGCUACUUUUGCAUCUUCCAGUGGCCUAAAAAGUGAAUAAUUGUAUUUCACAUUUCCAAAAGAGAGAACCAAGCUUUGGAUUGAUCAAAUUGUUUGAUUUGCGGAUCAUGUUUUGCACUUUGUAGUGCGUUUAGAGUUUUGCUGGAUGAUGCUUUUCCAUGGCUGCUACUCAAAAAGAAGCGGAAGGAUAUUCUUGUGUUGUGGCUCCGCCUGAUGUUCAGGAGGGCUUUAUGAUGAUGGACUAAGAAGAUUUAAGUUACCAUUCUUUCAGUGUUUAUUGCUACUAGAAGGGAAGAAGUUUGUAUACGUUUAUAUACUGUUUACAAAAACGUGUGCCGUCAGGUGCUUGAGUCAGUAGUGUGACACACUCGGAAUGGUUUAAGGCUGUUUUUGUCUGUCAUCAUCCCACACACUGCUUAUCAAACUGCCGAUAUUUUGGUUCCUGCUUCCUAAAAUUAAAUCCACAUUUCCAUUUUCUCCCAGAUUAGAUCAACCUAUUUGCCACUUGUUGCUUUCCCUCUGUCCGUCGAUCGUCUGAUGUCAAGCAGCCUUUUUUGAAGCGAUGACUUUCCAUUAGCGUGACGUUGACCAACUGACCUACUUUUGCUCUCUCUGGCUCUGUGGACUGACAGACGCAGAGAAAAAUCAACACUCAAUAUUUAUCAGCCAGGAAGCGCCAAAGCAGCAACCCAAGGGCCAGAACAAUCCAUGCAGUCAUAACAAUGCUGCUCGAGUGGAAGUGCGGAUAAAAUACAAAACAAUUUUGAUGAGCCAUGUCAGUGACGGGGUUCGCUCCAGAAUGUCUGUUUAAAAACCACGGUGGCACUUUAUUUAAACCAAAUAUGGACCUUUGUUUUUCAUCUGUGUUUAUUUGUCAGUAGAGAGGCAUCACAUGAAUGAUGAGUUUGUUUCCAAAGCAGAGGGACAUCCAUGCUGUCGAGGAUGCAGUUCUGACGGAAACUUGAAAGGCUUGAUCUGAGGUUAGGAAAGGUGAACUGGAAGAGAAGGAAAGAGGUUUUUUUCCCAGAAACUGUCUACUUCAGUGAUCUGAUGGAUUUAUCAGCUAAACUCCCCUCAGAACACAGACGGACUCAGCAUGAUCAGAUCUGAGCGCGCUCAAGACAAGAGACGGAAAUAUCCCGGCGUGUGAUGAAGGGCUGAAGUGAGGAUGAGCCGUUAUAUCAGACCAUCCUGACAGACAGCGGAGCGCACAAGUAGUGGCUGCUGCGCGGAGGUGGAUUGAUGUGUCUUUGUGCAGCAGGUGAUCCAUCCGACCAUAUCAUAUCGUCCCACCAGGAGGCCACAGAAGCAGCCAUGACACGAGUAGACCCUCCAUCCACACCACGCUGGCAGUGUGUGUGAAGGAAUUAAAUCAUCUCAUCUCAUACUUAUAUGAGAUAUUAUAUCACUUAUACUCAAAUCAAGCGACUGAAGAGGAUCUGUCUUGUUCUCUUGAUCAGCAUUAGUGCUGCGACUGUUAUACAAUGUAGGUCAAACUCCUGACGCUGAUCUGAGUGUGGGAUUUUGACCGUGUUCACACGCUCAGUGUAUGUUGAAGGAGAGUCUUUUUUAACUUUGGUAAACAAAUACAAGUGCAUGAAUAUUCCAAAGCAUGCUGAGCGAGAGAGGAAGAGGGAGAAGAAGCCGCAGCCUGUUGCCCAUCUCAAAGAGUUCUGGUUUGAAAACUUUGAAGAGUUUAUUUGGGUUUUUCUCCAGACUCCUAGGGAGGAAUAUUAACCACUUUUGCCAAUUAUUUUUCAUUUACUCCUUUCCAACUUAGCUCCAUCUCCAUGGUAAACCAAUAUCUGAUCUUAUUAUUCAUGCGUGUGCUGAAAAUCACGAAUAAUAUUUUGGACCUGACGGUACAUUAACCUUUUAUUAGAUUUAAAUAUAUGUAUAGAUAAAAACCUCUGCUAAACUUUGCACCACUUCAUCAGGCCUGGCAGUCUCCAGAGAUGACUGUGUUCCCAUCGCAGUCUGAAAAGGCUCAUGCAAACAUCUUGAGCAUGAUUUAUUACUCACCAAGCUGAGAAAUACUUCUCUUCUGACAUCAGUGCAUGCUGUGCUAUUUGCACAACAGCUUUACCUCAGAAAAAUAGCCUGAAUAGCAGAAUCAAAAUGGUCUUCCUCUGAACACUGAGAUUUAUUAGAAAAGAAGCUGGAGGGGAAAAACUACUCUCACAGGCCCAGGCAUAUCAACUACAAGCUACAGUUCAGCUUGUGUUUAGCAUUCUGAUUGUUCCUUAAACUGUGUUGAUUCAAUUAUCCCUGUAGUCAAGUGAGAAUUACAUUUGUGUCAGCUACUUUUUCUCUUUAUUUUGAAGAAAAAAUUGUAUAAAUAUAAAAAAUUGAAUACAGAUUUCACUUCAAAUUUGCACUUACAAAGUGAACCUUCCAAACCAAAGAGCACAAAUCCAUAUAGUGGGACAAUGGCACCAUGAAUGUCUUGACUGAAAUAUCACCAGGGGAAUCAGUCAGAUCUAUUUGAUCUGUAGUACUUUCUGAUACUUAUAUUACAGUUUACUUCUCUGCUGAUACAUGUAAAAUUAAAUGUAUUGGUCCAGAUGAUUUUGGAUGCAGCACUUGAUGGAUGAGACCUGGCAAAGAGAAGCUAUUAAAUGGACCACUGAUUCGGUGGUUUCCUGUUCAUAUAUUCUUGGCCUUCUUCCCAUUCUAGCAGGGAUUGACAUGACAUGAAUGUAUUGUGUCUUGGUCUAUAUUUCUCAAUUCAUAUGUCAUAAAACAUGUUGAGACCAUCAGGAUGUAAGGAGUAAUUCCCACCAUUCAGGUUCCCCUAAAAACUCUGUGAAGGCCUCCGCAGCUGUCCCUUGUUUGUGCUUCACUACCCUAACGCGAUGUGAAUGGAGUUCCACGUGCAACCUCUUUUCCUCUGACCCGUCCUUCGACUG